Molecule: long non-coding RNA, 7020 nt
Filed under: Xyrichtys novacula (pearly razorfish)
Lineage: Eukaryota; Metazoa; Chordata; Actinopteri; Labriformes; Labridae
Source: RNAcentral
CUCAGGAGAGUCGUCACAGUCUCCAAACACUUCAGCAAAGUCUGAUGGACUUUUCCGCAGAGUCUGGUCAGCUGGCAGUGUGUUGUCAUUGUAAGAUGACACAAACUUAAAGUCACUGGUUCGAGACCCUGUUGUCAGGUAGGCGUCAUAAUUGUAAGCGCUGCGUAAAGUUCCUGUGCCGUCAACAUCUGCGUAAUUAGGAGGGAGAUAAGCGCUGGGGAUGGCCACUGCUCCGUCAAACAACAGUCUGGGCUUUCUCCUGCGACAAAACCUCACACCAAGGAUGAUGAUGAUGAAGGUCAGAAAAAACGUUGACACACACACCAGCGCGAUGAUCAGAUAAGAGGUCAGUUUGGAGUUCUUCUCAUCAUAAGAAAUGUCCUUCAGUUCUGGCACCUCAGCCAAGUUAUCAGAAAUCAGUAAAUACAUGGAACAGGUGGCAGACAGAGAGGGCUGCCCGUUAUCUUUCACUGACACUACAAGGUUCUGUUUCAUGCUGUCAGAUUCAGAAAUGUCCCGCUGGGUCCUGAUCUCUCCACUGUGGACACCAAUAGUGAAAAGUCCCGGAUCCGUGGAUUUCACGAUUUGAUACGACAGCCAGGCGUUCUGUCCAGAGUCCGCGUCCACCGCUAUCACUUUGGACACCAGAGAGCCUCCGUGUGCAGCUUUGGGGACCAGCUCGGUCAUGAACGACUUGCCCUCCGGCCCGGGGUACAGGAUCUGAGGAGAGUUGUCAUUCACAUCGGAUAUGAACACACUCACGGUCACGUUGCUGCUGAGAGGAGGAGAACCGUUGUCUCUGGCCAUCACCUGAACUUUGAAGCUCCGGAACUGUUCAUAAUCAAACGACCUCACAGCGUGGAUCACCCCCGUGUCUCCGUUCACUGACACAUAGGAGGACACCGGGGCACCGUUCACCUCACCGCCUAACAGAGAAUAAAUCACUGUACCGUUCUGUCUCCAGUCGGGGUCUCGAGCACUAACGGAACAUAAAGUGGAGCCAGCUUUGUUAUUCUCACUCACAUAUGCGCUGUACGACUGCUCCUCAAACACAGGUGGGUUGUCGUUGAUGUCUGCUACAGAUAACUGAACAGUUUUAGACGACGACAGAGGUGGAGAGCCCUCGUCAGUGGCACUGAUUGUAAUGUUGUAAUCAGACACUAGUUCACGGUCCAGUUGUCCUGUGCUCACCAGAGAAUAAUAGUUUUUAAUUGAAGGAACCAAUUUAAAAGGGACAUUUUGCUGAAUGGAGCAGCGGACCUGUCUGUUACUAUCAGAGUCUCUGUCCUGCACGUUAAUGAUGCCCACCUCUGUACCAGGUGACACGUUCUCAGGUAUGGGAUUAGUCAGUGAUUUCACGUAUAUCACUGGAGCGUUAUCGUUUAUGUCCAUGACAUCAAUCAAUAGGGUUGCAUAUGAAAUCAAUCCUAGACCAUCUUUCGCACUUAUCUGCAUUUCAUAUGACGAUUCUUUUUCAUAAUCGAUGUUACCAGCUACUGUCACUUCUCCGGAUUUAGAGUCUAAAGUAAAUAUGUUGUUGUCAUCUGAAACAUGAUCAAAUCCAUAUGUGAUUUCACUAUUUAAACCCUCGUCUGCAUCAGUAGCACUCACUGUGAUCACCAGUGUAUCUACAGGAGAGUUUUCAGGCAGACUGGCUUUAUAAACGGCCUGACUGAACACUGGUACAUUAUCAUUAGCAUCCAGUACAGUGACGUGAAUGACUACUGUACCGGAUCUACGAGGAGAGCCUCCAUCAAAUGCAGUUAGUAACAACUUGAGCUCCUGUGUGACCUCUCUGUCUAAUUCUUUAUCUAAAACCAGUUCACCAUAUUUUCGCCCACCUCCUUUUGUGUUAACAUUUAAUUUAAAAUGAUCAUUCUGCUGAAGAGAAUAACCCUGAACACCAUUUUCCCCAAUGUCUCCAUCGUGUGCCUCUCCAAGAAGAAAACGUGCACCCUUAACAGCGGAUUCAUGAAUAUCAAAUCUUAGCAUCUCUUCUGCAAACUGAGGUGAAUUGUCGUUGAUAUCUUGAACGCGGAUAUUUAUUCGGUGCACCUCUAAAGGAUUUUCCAGGACGAGCUCCUGUUUCAAAACACAUGAUGCUCUUUUCGCACAAAGACCCUCUCUGUCGAUCCUUUCUUGUACCAUCAAUCCUCCGGUGUUCAGAUUUACGCUGCAGUAUUUCACACUGUUGUCCUCAGUAUCAACGCGGGCAUUGCGAGCCGACAGUCUUCCCGAUUCCAGUCCCAGAUCCUUCGCAAUAUUUCCAAUUACAGAUCCACGUUUCAUCUCCUCCGGAAUGGAGUAGCUCACGUCCCCAAAGACGAGGUGGAGGGCGAGAAAAAUAACAGCUAGGCCGCCAUGCAGCAUGAAUCCAAUAAAUCCCAUUGUUAGAGUCAAUAAAAAUCCAACAGACGGGCAAAAAACCUUAAAUACAGAUCACAUUUACCUCACACUAGAUCAGUUAUUCUGCGGUGAAAACCUUUUUAGAGUACUCAAAUACGAACCAGCUCACUACAAAAGCACAGACAGGAUAUACUGUCGUUGAGACAAAAGGGUGGAGAAUGACUGUGUUCUCUCGUUAGCUAGUACACACUGACACCAUGAGUGAGCUUCAGGUAUGACAGCAAGAUAGAUCUUUUCUGUGCAUAUUUAAGAAAUAUCCACCAACCCCGUCUCCUCAAUGUUCAGGGGAAAACAAAGACAUGUUAUCGUUCUCGCUGUGUCUCCCGAAGAACUACUGACAGUUUUGGGACAUCGGGGACAUACGAUGUGUUUACAAGCACAAACUAUCACAGAGUGCUAUUCUCACACGCAAUUUACAGCAGGUAAAUAUCCAGUUACCAUGAGUACUGUGAUGAUUUUGUCAACUCAAAAGAAAAAGCAUACCUCUUACACAGGUCUUAGUAUGAGCAAACACUGCGUGAGGAAAGAAAUUUUCACAUCAUAUCUUGACACACUACUUUGUCAAUAAAGAGGAAAAACUUAAUAAUUUCAAUUAAAUGUGAACAAUCACUGAAACCAAACUAAAGAAGUAGGAUGUGAAGACUAUAAGCAGAUAGACAGUAGUGAUUCCAAAGCAUCACAAACUGAAAAGGGUUCAGCAUCAAUGGAAGAGAGUUUAUCAUGCAUUUUUUUGCCUCUUGCUCAUGUUCGGUGAGAAAAUACUUCGCAAGAUCAAAUAAGCAAAAUGAAUUUAUUCACCAAAUAUAUAUUCACAGGCACCACAACAUAAAAUCAGUAUCAAAAACAUUAAUAGACUCACUAGACAGAUAGUCAAAGAGCAAAUGCUGAAAAAUAUCUUUUAAAAACUAAAUAAGGUCAACUAUAACUACACAAUGCCAACUAAGUGACAAUACAACUAUAGUCAAGCUGAUUACUUCAGGAGUCUGUCCCCACAUAUAUCUGUGACAAGACAAAAUAGGAGAAUCAUCCAUCAUAGGAUUUCUUUGUUUUUGAGGUUUUAGGAUGGAAACAUCAAGUACAAAAUCAUACAGUAGGAGGGAUACAUUGAUAAUAAAAGGCACCAAACUACUUCAUGUUCAAUAGAAUCUCAAACCUUAAGCCCAUGAGACACUCUUCACAGCACAGCUUAAUGCUGUGCUGAAUAAAAAUUACAAAAGCCUAUAAUAAACUGUAAAAAUAGAAACAAAAUAGCUCAGGGCUCAAAAAGACAUAGAAAUGAAUUGCUCACAUUUUUAAGAAAAUGUCUCCAGCACAGCUAGCCGGUGAAUAAUUGACAGGCUAGUAAAAAAAAUGAAAUCAACUGAGAAGACUAAAGUUGAUGGAGUCAGAUUUAACCAUGAAAAAGGGAAAGAAGAAACUAGUCGUGCACACUGAGGGAGACUUUACAUUUCACAAACUCAGCACUUAAUGAACUGUUGAUCACUGUAAACUAAAAGAACACCUCUGUACCUAUAUCAAGAACUGACCAUCUCACUGAAAGGGAAGAGACUGAACCGUGUUUUACAAAUGUUCUUACCUCAGGACAGUUAUGACUGUGUCUCUAAAUACUUCAGGAAGGUUAUUACAUGUUAUUACACUGAAAAGUGGGAGAAUGCCAAGACAAGAACAACUGACAAAGACAGGAAAAUGACUUCUUGCCUCGAGAACAAAUAUCCUCUAAAUUCAUUUCACUGCAUCCUUGCCUUAUCUGCAAGUUGAGUGGUUUCUUUUGUGCUUAAUUAUUGCAUCCACAUUUAUGGACUACUAUUACUUAAAAUACAUUUGCUUUGGAAAAAUCAAAUCAAAUCAAAUCUUUCAUCUGUAAUGAUGAGCACACAUUUAAAAUCAAAAUGGAGCAUCAGCACCAGGGAUAGAAAUCCAAAAAUACGAGUUUCAGAUCUGAACAAGAUACAAAAAGUGCAGAGUACAACACAUUCAUCAUGAGAUGAACGGGGAAAUUUCCAAAACAGAUUUAUCUGGAAAAUUAUCCAAACACUAAAGAAUAUAUAUUUAUAUUAAGUUCUACUUUUUUUAAAUAAAGAGCACCAAUUAUGGAACAAUAAUGGAGCACUGUGGAUGGAGAGGGACGAGAAACAAGAAAAUACCAUGAGACUUCAAAGACACAAAAUAAUUGAUCACAAACAUACAAGAUACAACAUCAAAGCUUAAAGCAGCAUUCUUUGUAAAACUCUUUAAAGAAAGCAACUAAGUUGAAAGUCUUUGAAGUAUACCUAAAAAGCACAAGCCUUUGAAAUCUCAAUAAAGCCACAAAGUAAAGUAAAAUCUUUCAGAGCAGGUACCUUCUCAAUCAAGGAAAAACAUCAAAGAGCCAGACACCUAAAAGACAGGACAACUAUGGCACAUCUGAGAAAAACGUGUUUUCUUUAAUCACUGGUGCGAAAGGGGGGAAAAAAUCAUUGAAAAUCAUUUCAAUGAAUCAUUUCGAGACAAAGCAAAUUUAAAUCCCCUUUUAAGACAGUAAAUUUGAAAUUACUGUCUACAGCUGUCCAUAAAACUGAAAAAUGUCACAAACAAUGCGCACAUGUUUCUACCUUAGGAGAGUCGUCAUAGUCCCCCAACUCUUCAGUAAAGUCUGUUGGACUUUUCAUCAGAACCUGAUGCUGAUAGGUCAGCGGUGUCAUCUGAAAUUAUCAAAACAAAUUAAAAACAGAGACCUAACUGUAAAGAGCACACGUUAUUACUAUUCAGUCAACAUCAGUGCGCAAAUCUGGAACUAAAAAAAGAUAUCAAAAGAGGCUGGGAUGUAUGAGUUAUAAGUCUAUUGUAAGAACAGGUAAGCAACAAUGAAGGGAAGCAUUUUCAAUCUUAAAGAAGAGAUAAAUAUCAUUUUACCAUUGAAAACUGAAGCAUGAUUAAAGAACCAAGAGAGUAUAUACAAACCACAGGGAGCAAAAAUUUGGGAGUUUGAACAAACAAUUCAGUUCUAAAAAAUGUCAUUUCUCUAAAUAAAAAAUGUCUCCAAAAACUACAGCCAAAUCAUUUGAACUUUUCCACAGAGAUUGGUCAAAGAUAAACACAAGGACAAUGUAGACAAAAGGGUGUUUCUUUCUGUUUCCACAGGGCAAAGGGAAGUUUCAGCACCAAGGACAGAGACAACAAAAGCUAAGAAUUCAGCUUUAUGUAACAAAGAUUUCUCCACUAAUGCAAAGAAAACAGACAAGCUCAAUGUCAAACCACAAAAUGUGCACUAAUCACUUAUCUUUACAUUUACCCUGAUUUUAAAAAAGAAAACAAAAGUCUACAACAUGUUUAUGGUAUAAAUAUGCUGCAAAGAAGUAGAGGGAACACAAACAAAAAUGUUUGAUCUUGUUGAAAAGAAACACAACUGAAGGGUUCAACGAAGCUGAUGGCAACAUGGCAUGACUUUCAGGCUUGAAAAGAAGGAAUUUAAACAAAAUCCACAGAAAACCACAAAAAAAAUUUUUUGAUCUUCUGAAUGGUAUAAGUGAAUACAAAAAAACUAUCUCAAACUAUCGAGAUGACCACAUGGCAAGGUAUUAAGCAGGUGUUCCUACCUCAGGAGAGUCGUCACAGUCUCCAAACACUUCAGUAAAGUCUGAUGGACUUUUCCUCAGAGUCUGGUCAGCUGGCAGUGUGUUGUCAUUGUACGAUGAAACAAACUUAAAGUCACUGGUUCGAGACCCUGUUGUCAGGUAGGCGUCAUAAUUGUAAGCGCUGCGUAAAGUUCCUGUGCCGUCAACAUCUGCGUAAUUAGGAGGGAGAUACGCGCUGGGGAUGGCCACUGCUCCGUCAAACAACAGUCUGGGCUUUCUCCUGCGACAAAACCUCACACCAAGGAUGAUGAUGAUGAAGGUCAGAAAAAAUGUCGACACACACACCAGCGCGAUGAUCAGAUAAGAGGUCAGUUUGGAGUUCUUCUCAUCAUAAGAAAUGUCCUUCAGUUCUGGCACCUCAGCCAAGUUAUCAGAAAUCAGUAAAUACAUGGAACAGGUGGCAGACAGAGAGGGCUGCCCGUUAUCUUUCACUGACACUACAAGGUUCUGUUUCAUGCUGUCAGAUUCAGAAAUGUCCCGCUGGGUCCUGAUCUCUCCACUGUGGACACCAAUAGUGAAAAGUCCCGGAUCCGUGGAUUUCACUAUUUGAUACGACAGCCAGGCGUUCUGUCCAGAGUCCGCGUCCACCGCUAUCACUUUGGACACCAGAGAGCCUCCGUGAGCAGCUUUGGGGACCAGCUCGGUCAUGAACGACUUGCCCUCUGGCCCGGGGUACAGGAUCUGAGGAGAGUUGUCAUUCACAUCUGAUAUGAACACACUCACGGUCACGUUGCUGCUGAGAGGAGGAGAACCGUUGUCUCUGGCCAUCACCUGAACUUUGAAGCUCCGGAACUGUUCAUAAUCAAACGACCUCACAGCGUGGAUCACCCCCGUGUCUCCGUUCACGGACACAUAGGAGGACACCGGGGCACCGUUCACCUCACCGCCUAACAGAGAAUAAAUCACUGUACCGUUCUGUCUCCAGUCGGGGUCUCGAGCACUAACGGAACAUAAAGUGGAGCCAGCUUUGUUAUUCUCACUCACAUAUGCGCUGUACGAC